CGUAUGGCGACCGGCGCACGGGUGCGUAACGCGUAUGCAACCUACCUUUAACAGGGGCAUAACACUGAGAGAUUGGUACUAAUUCCCCAUAACAUUCGAGAAGGCAUCUUCUUGGGUUAAAAACUCCGGUGGUUAAAGAUGGGCAUGCGUUGUAUUAGCUAGUUGGUGAGGUAACGGCUCACCAAGGCAACGAUACAUAGGGGGACUGAGAGGUUAACCCCCCACAUUGGUACUGAGACACGGACCAA
This 248-nucleotide ribosomal RNA is filed under the name uncultured bacterium. RNAcentral's name for it is "partial 16S ribosomal RNA". It matches the Rfam family "Bacterial small subunit ribosomal RNA", at positions 85 to 334 of the family's 1533-position model. The record is from RNAcentral.